UACGUAGGAGGCAAGCGUUGUCCGGAAUUGCUGGGCGUAAAGCGCGUGUAGGCGGGAAGCUCAGUCUGUGGUGAAAGCGCCUGGCUUAACCGGGCGAGGUCCAUGGAAACUAGCUACCUAGAGGCCGGUAGAGGGGGGGUGGAAUUCCGGGUGUAGUGGUGAAAUGCGUAGAGAUCCGGAGGAACACCAGUGGCGAAGGCGGCGUCCUGGCCUGCGACUGACGCUGUGGCGCGAAAGCUAGGGGAGCGAACGGG
This 254-nucleotide ribosomal RNA is filed under the name uncultured bacterium. Its description in RNAcentral is "partial 16S ribosomal RNA". It matches the Rfam family "Bacterial small subunit ribosomal RNA", at positions 524 to 776 of the family's 1533-position model. The record is from RNAcentral.